CAGAAAGAAAGCGAGAUAGAAAGAGUGAGCAACAGAAUGAGACAGACAGAGAGAGAGAAUUCAGAUGGAUGACAGUGUUUCAUCCCAUGUUUCAGCAGAUGUCUUGGUUUACCUGCUACAGAGUCAUCUCUUUGUCCUCUCUGUGGAAUGUUGUCUUGUGCCCUUCUCCUCCGUAAUGGUUCCAUCUCACUAAGAAUUGAACAGACUACUAUCUAGUUAGGGGGAAUGCUAGUGGACUGCAUGCGUGGAAUUCAAGACACAGUUAAUCUAUGGAAGUUUUGCCCUCAUUUCAC
Molecule: long non-coding RNA, 293 nt
Organism: Cyprinus carpio carpio
Lineage: Eukaryota; Metazoa; Chordata; Actinopteri; Cypriniformes; Cyprinidae
Source: Ensembl